This 253-nucleotide ribosomal RNA is filed under the name uncultured bacterium. RNAcentral's name for it is "partial 16S ribosomal RNA". It matches the Rfam family "Bacterial small subunit ribosomal RNA", at positions 524 to 776 of the family's 1533-position model. The record is from RNAcentral.
UACGUAGGUGGCAAGCGUUAUCCGGAUUUAUUGGGCGUAAAGGGAACGCAGGCGGUCUUUUAAGUCUGAUGUGAAAGCCUUCGGCUUAACCGGAGUAGUGCAUUGGAAACUGGGAGACUUGAGUGCAGAAGAGGAGAGUGGAACUCCAUGUGUAGCGGUGAAAUGCGUAGAUAUAUGGAAGAACACCAGUGGCGUAAGCGGCUCUCUGGUCUGUAACUGACGCUGAGGUUCGAAAGCGUGGGUAGCAAACAGG